UGGGGAAUAUUGCACAAUGGGCGCAAGCCUGAUGCAGCCAUGCCGCGUGUGUGAAGAAGGCCUUCGGGUUGUAAAGCACUUUCAGCGAGGAGGAAGGUGGUGAGCUUAAUACGCUUAUCAAUUGACGUUACUCGCAGAAGAAGCACCGGCUAACUCCGUGCCAGCAGCCGCGGUAAUACGGAGGGUGCAAGCGUUAAUCGGAAUUACUGGGCGUAAAGCGCACGCAGGCGGUUUGUUAAGUCAGAUGUGAAAUCCCCGGGCUCAACCGGGGAACUGCAUUUGAAACUGGCAAGCUAGAGUCGCGUAGAGGGGGGUAGAAUUCCAGGUGUAGCGGUGAAAUGCGUAGAGAUCUGGAGGAAUACCGGUGGCGAAGGCGGCCCCCUGGACGAAGACUGACGCUCAGGUGCGAAAGCGUGGGGAGCAAACA
This 427-nucleotide ribosomal RNA is filed under the name uncultured bacterium. Its description in RNAcentral is "partial 16S ribosomal RNA". It matches the Rfam family "Bacterial small subunit ribosomal RNA", at positions 355 to 774 of the family's 1533-position model. The record is from RNAcentral.